Molecule: non-coding RNA, 29 nt
Filed under: Cricetulus griseus (Chinese hamster)
Lineage: Eukaryota; Metazoa; Chordata; Mammalia; Rodentia; Cricetidae
Source: RNAcentral
ACUCACGCAGGCUCUAAAAUUGGCAGAAG